UUCAAGAAACCCUAACUAUAAGUAGCAAGGGUUGGUCCAAAGCGCCUCGCUCAGUCUCUCUUUCAGCCUUUCAUUUCCAUUUUCCAAACCAUUCCUCUCUUUCAAAUCCUUGAUACACAGCGCCUCCAAAUCCUUCCUCUGCAGUCGACGGAGGACGGCGGGACAUCGACGUCGGUCUGCAGUCGACUUGAGGUCUCGACAUCGACUUGACGUCGCCCCGCUGUCCCGCCAUACUCCGUCAACGACAUCGGUCUGCAGUCGACGUAAGGUCUCGCUGUCCCGCCGUCCUCGACAUCAUCCUACCGUCAUCUACAUCGAUCUGAUCCCGACGUCGUACCGCCGUCCUCGACAUCAUCCUACCGUCAUCGACAUCGAUCUGAUCCCGACGUCGUCCCGCCGUCCUCCGUCAUCGACAUCGGUCUGCAGUCGAGAUCGGCUGAUUCCCUAUCCUUCGCCAAAAUGCAUCAGUUUAAUGAACAUCAUAUUAAGCCUUCUAUGUUGAGAAAUGCUACUGGAUGCUUUCGAAGAGCAAAUCACAACCCGCAAUCGAUCAGGUUGUUCUCUCUGACCGCUGAUUUGAAUUUUCUCUCGUCUUUUUAGAUACUUACAUGUCAUAUCUGCAUGAGUAUGGUUAAUCCAAUUAAGCAUUUUUUUAUAGUUUAUAUAGUAAAUUUUAUAUGGAAUUAGUUAUUGGAACUUACCAUAGCUUAACUUAAUCUUGUUUUGCCCCUUUGCUGUGACACCUCAAUUUGACCACAUGCUAUCAUAUGACAUUGUCAAUUUCUGGUUUUUAUCUUUUAAAAUAUUGCACAACACUUUCAAUUAUUUGUGGUCUUAUUCACUAGGCGGAGGCUCUCUCUUACCUCUCCAAUGGUACAAUGAUGACAUACGGACUGUUAUGGAUGCGGGGUAUUCCCCAAGCUGGUUGAUCUUCUGCAGUGAGGAUUUUAUAAUUUUACACUGUAGAAGAUCAACUAGCUUGGGGAACACCCCACAGCCAUAACAGUCUGUAUGUCAUCAUGUGUACCGUUGGAGAGGUAAGAGAAAGCCUCACAUGCAUCAACGAACACGUCUAUGCAAUAUUUUAAAAGAUAAAAACCAGAAAUUCACAAUGUCAAAAAUGUGUGUAUGAAUUUUACAAAAUUGGUCAAAUUGAGGUGUCACGGCAAAGUGGCAAAACAAGAUUAAACCGAUUACAGCAAGUUCAAUAACUAAUUCCAUAUUAAUUUUAUUUUAUAAACUAUAAAAAAAAUGCUUAAUUGGAUUAACCAUACCCAAGCAGCACAUAUGACGGGUGAACAACCUGAUCGAAUGCGGGUUGUGGUUUGCCCCCACAUAGAUGCUGAGGGGCUGGAUGAGAUUUUGGGAUGCGGAUUGAAGUUCAACUGAAGUUCUGUAUGAUUUUGGUUGCUGAUUGUUAGGUCAUUGAAGUUGCUGAAUAGGCUCGGGAUUAUAUUAGACAAUUCUGUCUUUUGUAUAGGGGGUUCCACGGUUGGAGGUCCUUGUAGUCAUAUUUCUAGAAUUUCUUCCUUUGUACAUGUUACCGGGAAAUGUUGCCCAAAUCCUGAGAGUUUUAUCAAGAAAUUUAAAGAAAAAAUGGCUAUAAACUCGACUCGAUAUUGAAGUAAAACGAAUGGCAAGCAUUAUGAUUA
This is a long non-coding RNA of Cornus florida, 1652 nucleotides long. RefSeq lists it as uncharacterized. NCBI's taxonomy places the organism in Eukaryota, Viridiplantae, Streptophyta, Magnoliopsida, Cornales, Cornaceae. The record is from RefSeq and is a predicted model, not a curated record. The transcript has 2 exons.